RNAcentral lists this ribosomal RNA (282 nucleotides) under uncultured prokaryote. RNAcentral's name for it is "partial 16S ribosomal RNA". It matches the Rfam family "Bacterial small subunit ribosomal RNA", at positions 524 to 803 of the family's 1533-position model. The record is from RNAcentral.
UACGGAGGAUCCGAGCGUUAUCCGGAUUUAUUGGGUUUAAAGGGUGCGCAGGCGGGGGAUUAAGUCGGCGGUGAAAUUUUGCAGCUCAACUGUAAAAGUGCCUUCGAAACUGGUUUCCUUGAGUGUAGAUGAAGUAGGCGGAAUUUGUGGUGUAGCGGUGAAAUGCUUAGAUACCACAAGGAACACCGAUAGCGUAGGCAUUGUACUUACCGGUAACUGACGCUGAGGCACGAAAGCGCGGGUAGCGAACAGGAUUAGAUACCCUGGUAGUCCCUGAGCGGG